RNAcentral lists this ribosomal RNA (462 nucleotides) under uncultured soil bacterium. RNAcentral's name for it is "bacterial SSU rRNA". It matches the Rfam family "Bacterial small subunit ribosomal RNA", at positions 26 to 486 of the family's 1533-position model. The record is from RNAcentral.
AGAUUGAACGCUGGCGGCAUGCCUUACACAUGCAAGUCGAACGGUAGAGUAGCAAUACUCGAGAGUGGCGAACGGGUGAGUAAUAUAUCGGAACGUGCCCAGUCGUGGGGGAUAACGUAGAGAAAUUUACGCUAAUACCGCAUACGAUCUACGGAUGAAAGCGGGGGACUCGCAAGAGCCUCGCGCGAUUGGAGCGGCUGAUAUCAGAUUAGGUUGUUGGUGAGGUAAAAGCUCACCAAGCCGACGAUCUGUAGCUGGUUUGAGAGAACGACCAGCCACACUGGGACUGAGACACGGCCCAGACCUCCGUACGGGAGGCAGCAGGUGGGGAAUUUUGGACAAGUGGGCGAAAGCCUGAUCCAGCAAUGCCGCGUGCGAGGAAGAAGGCCUUCGGUUGUAAACUGCUUUUGUACGGAACGAAAGGCUCUUUCUAAUAAGAGGCCAUGACGGUAACCGUAAGAA